CCUACGGGCGGCAGCAGUGCGGAAUAUUGGUCAAUGGACGAGAGUCUGAACCAGCCAAGUAGCGUGAAGGAUGACUGCCCUAUGGGUUGUAAACUUCUUUUAUAUGGGAAUAAAAUGUUCCACGUGUGGGAUUUUGUAUGUACCAUAUGAAUAAGGAUCGGCUAACUCCGUGCCAGCAGCCGCGGUAAUACGGAGGAUCCGAGCGUUAUCCGGAUUUAUUGGGUUUAAAGGGAGCGUAGGUGGAUUGUUAAGUCAGUUGUGAAAGUUUGCGGCUCAACCGUAAAAUUGCAGUUGAAACUGGCAGUCUUGAGUACAGUAGAGGUGGGCGGAAUGCGUGGGGUAGCGGUGAAAUGCUUAGAUAGCACGAAGAACUCCGAUUGCGAAGGCAGUUCACUGGACUGCAACUGACACUGAGGCUCGAAAGUGUGGGUAUCAAACAGGAUUAGAUACCCGAGUAGUC
RNAcentral lists this ribosomal RNA (460 nucleotides) under uncultured bacterium. RNAcentral's name for it is "partial 16S ribosomal RNA". It matches the Rfam family "Bacterial small subunit ribosomal RNA", at positions 338 to 795 of the family's 1533-position model. The record is from RNAcentral.